RNAcentral lists this ribosomal RNA (259 nucleotides) under mushroom compost bacterium M1. Its description in RNAcentral is "partial 16S ribosomal RNA". It matches the Rfam family "Bacterial small subunit ribosomal RNA", at positions 820 to 1076 of the family's 1533-position model. The record is from RNAcentral.
ACGUGCGCUGGAGUGUGCCUGAGCGUGGCUCGGACUAACGCGUUAAGUCGACCGCCUGGGGAGUACGGCCGCAAGGUUAAAACUCAAAUGAAUUGACGGGGGCCCGCACAAGCGGUGGAGCAUGUGGUUUAAUUCGAUGCAACGCGAAGAACCUUACCUACUCUUGACAUCCAGAGAACUUAGCAGAGAUGCUUUGGUGCCUUCGGGAACUCUGAGACAGGUGCUGCAUGGCUGUCGUCAGCUCGUGUCGUGAGAUGUU